GACGAGCGCUGGCGGCGUGCUUAACACAUGCAAGUCGAACGGAAAGGCCUCUUUCGGGGGGUACUCGAGUGGCGAACGGGUGAGUAACACGUGAGUAACCUGCCCUUGACUUUGGGAUAACUUCAGGAAACUGGGGCUAAUACCGGAUAGGAGCUCCUGCUGCAUGGUGGGGGUUGGAAAGUUUCGGCGGUUGGGGAUGGACUCGCGGCUUAUCAGCUUGUUGGUGGGGUAGUGGCUUACCAAGGCUUUGACGGGUAGCCGGCCUGAGAGGGUGACCGGCCACAUUGGGACUGAGAUACGGCCCAGACUCCGACGGGAGGCAGCAGUGGGGAAUAUUGCACAAUGGGUGGAAGCCUGAUGCAGCAACGCCGUGUGCGGGAUGACGGCCUUCGGGUUGUAAACCGCUUUCGCUCAUGACGAAGCUUUGUGUGACGGUAGUGGGUAAAGAAGCACCGGCUAACUACGUG
RNAcentral lists this ribosomal RNA (467 nucleotides) under uncultured bacterium. Its description in RNAcentral is "partial 16S ribosomal RNA". It matches the Rfam family "Bacterial small subunit ribosomal RNA", at positions 28 to 507 of the family's 1533-position model. The record is from RNAcentral.